UACGUAGGGUGCAAGCGUUGUCCGGAAUUAUUGGGCGUAAAGAGCUCGUAGGCGGUUUGUCGCGUCUGCUGUGAAAACGCGAGGCUCAACCUCGCGCCUGCAGUGGGUACGGGCAGACUAGAGUGCGGUAGGGGAGAAUUGGAAUUCCUGGUGUAGCGGUGGAAUGCGCAGAUAUCAGGAGGAACACCGAUGGCGAAGGCAGAUCUCU
RNAcentral lists this ribosomal RNA (208 nucleotides) under uncultured bacterium. RNAcentral's name for it is "partial 16S ribosomal RNA". It matches the Rfam family "Bacterial small subunit ribosomal RNA", at positions 524 to 730 of the family's 1533-position model. The record is from RNAcentral.